AGUAAAAGUCGUAACAAGGUCUCCGUUGGUGAACCAGCGGAGGGAUCAUUACAGAGUUUUUAACUCCCCAACCCUUAUGUGAACAUACCUAUCGUUGCUUCGGCGGAAGUGCCCUAGCCUGGACGCAGGCUUUGCUGGCACUCCGCCGAGGACCUUAAACUCUUGUUUCUUUAGCAUCUUCUGAAUACGCCAUUAGGCAAAUCAACUGAAUUAAAACUUUCAACAACGGAUCUCUUGGCUCUGGCAUCGAUGAAGAACGCAGCGAAAUGCGAUACGUAAUGUGAAUUGCAGAAUCCAGUGAAUCAUCGAAUCUUUGAACGCACAUUGCGCCCGCCAGCAUUCUGGCGGGCAUGCCUGUUCGAGCGUCAUCUCAACCCUCGACCUCCCCCUAGGGAAGUCGGUGUUGGGGACCGGCAGCACACCGCCGGCCCUGAAAUGCAGUGGCGGCACGCCCGCGGCGACCUCUGCGUAGUACUAUAACUCGCACCGGAACCCCGACGUGACCACGCCGUAAAACAUCAAAUUUCUGAACGUUGACCUCGAAUCAGGUAGGACUACCCGCUGAACUUAAGC
RNAcentral lists this ribosomal RNA (573 nucleotides) under Beauveria diapheromeriphila. RNAcentral's name for it is "eukaryotic LSU rRNA". The stretch from base 215 to 368 matches the Rfam family "5.8S ribosomal RNA". The record is from RNAcentral. Lineage: Eukaryota; Fungi; Ascomycota; Sordariomycetes; Hypocreales; Cordycipitaceae.